GAUUUCUUUUCUUCAACUGAGCAAUCUUAAGUUGGAGCUUUUGUAGAGCUGCGGACUGUUGGCUCAAGGUGGCCCUUAGGUUUUGGACAUGUCUCUCCUCCUCCAUUGCUUCCUGAAAAACAAUCUCAAAGAACAAGUGAAGGCAUGGAAAGUUUUGGUCUAACCAAAAUAAAACAAAUGUAAGAAUGCAAUUUAACUAAACCGAGAAAAAUAUGCAAUUAUGAACCGAAAUGAAGUAACUAUACUAAAAUGAUUUUUCUUUUGGUUUUCUGAAUGCAAUCUCGAAAUUAAACAAUAUGGUAUGAUAAGAAACACAAAUGGAAAGAAAGUAU
This 332-nucleotide long non-coding RNA is filed under the name Brassica napus (rape). RNAcentral describes it as "long non-coding RNA (BNAP_LNC019632)". The record is from RNAcentral. Lineage: Eukaryota; Viridiplantae; Streptophyta; Magnoliopsida; Brassicales; Brassicaceae.